Molecule: small RNA, 301 nt
Filed under: Histoplasma capsulatum var. duboisii H88
Lineage: Eukaryota; Fungi; Ascomycota; Eurotiomycetes; Onygenales; Ajellomycetaceae
Description: Histoplasma capsulatum H88 hypothetical RNA
Source: RNAcentral
AAAGCACAACCACGAAAAAUGAAUGAACCUACUUAUCCAUCCGCUGACGGCGAAACAGCCCUUCUGAAACCGCGGUUUAUCGUUGCUGCUCAAGUUGCUUUAUCGGUAGCUUCUCCGCUUGUUCAAUAUUGAUUGUUGAGUUAUCGCAACUGCCCCAUGUCGAUUCGAUACAUCUCAUUGGCGCAACCAUACAUACUGUACGGAACAUUACUCAGGUACCGUACGGACCGCCCGAUACUAACAACUUAAUUCAAAUAAGCUAUGGGGUUUGAACCCAAGAGUUGUUGUCUUCUACAUCCGA